GCCGAACCACACAAACGUUAUUCGGAAUUACUGGGCUUAAAGGGUGCGUAGGCUGUGCGGAAAGUUGGGUGUGAAAGCCCCCGGCUCAACCGGGGAAUUGCGCCCAAAACUACCGUGCUUGAGGAAGACAGAGGUGAGCGGAACUUCGGGUGGAGCGGUGAAAUGCGUUGAUAUCCGAAGGAACACCGGUGGCGAAAGCGGCUCACUGGGUCUUUUCUGACGCUGAUGCACGAAAGCUAGGGGAGAAAACGGG
This 253-nucleotide ribosomal RNA is filed under the name uncultured bacterium. RNAcentral's name for it is "partial 16S ribosomal RNA". It matches the Rfam family "Bacterial small subunit ribosomal RNA", at positions 524 to 776 of the family's 1533-position model. The record is from RNAcentral.